GUAGGUGAACCUGCGGAAGGAUCAUUAACAAAUAUUAUAAAAAUUAUUGUUAUAAUUCACCCAUUUUUAUGUGAACCUUUGAUAAAACUGUGAAAUUGCUCUGGUAUUUUUUGGUUUUGAACUUGUAGUUCAAUUUGAAUUGCCUACCAGUAGUUUUUUUUAAAAAAUUAUUAAUUUACUAUUUUUAAGUUUAAUUUAUAUCUAUUUUUCUAUUGAAAUUUUUUACAUAUUUUUUAUGUUUAAAAUGACA
This 250-nucleotide unclassified non-coding RNA is filed under the name plant metagenome. RNAcentral's name for it is "partial contains small subunit ribosomal RNA, internal transcribed spacer 1, and 5.8S ribosomal RNA". The record is from RNAcentral.